CCCUUAGAUGUCCGGGGCCGCACGCGCGCUACACUGAAGGAAUCAGCGUGGCUUUCUCCCUGACCCGAAAGGGUUGGGAAACCCGUUGAAUCUCCUUCGUGAUAGGGAUUGGGGCUUGAAAUUGUUCCCCAUGAACGAGGAAUUCCUAGUAAACGCGAGUCAUCAGCUCGCAUUGAUUACGUCCCUGCCCUUUGUACACACCGCCCGUCGCACCUACCGAUUGAAUGGUUCGGUGAAGAUCUCGGACUUCGAUAUUUAUUCUUUAUUGAGUUUAUAUUGUGGGAAGUUAUCUAAACCUCAUCAUUUAGAGGAAGGUGAAGUCGUAACA
This 328-nucleotide ribosomal RNA is filed under the name uncultured eukaryote. RNAcentral describes it as "partial 18S ribosomal RNA". It matches the Rfam family "Eukaryotic small subunit ribosomal RNA", at positions 1470 to 1796 of the family's 1831-position model. The record is from RNAcentral.